CUUUUCUGUUUUUAGAAAAAACCAAAGGCAAGGAGGGGAAGUUCCAGGAUAUGCAUUAGUGACUUGAGAAAACAUGUUACACUGAUCUUGACAGAAUAAUAGAAUUUGAACCAGCAAUAAAAAGCUAUGAACCAAUAACAAUGGAGGAGUCUAACGAGAGUUUUAGGGAUGAUGGAAAGAGAAGCUAAUGAAAGUAAAGAAAUGGAAUAGAAUACAAUGGAAGGUCAAUUAACCUUGCUUUGUUUAGCAGUUUUAAAUGAUCAGGAGGCUAAUGUCUGUAAAGGUAUAUAACAACUUUAUAUUACACCCUUAAGCAGUUUAGCCCCAAUUUGAGGGUUAAGACAAAUUGACAUUUGAAGGGAAUAAUUGUAAUAUUUGAUGUUCAGUAACUUUCCUUCACACCCUAAGGCCUAAAAUAAUUUCCCAAAACAAGUUUAGGAGGUUAACCUUCAUUGUGCUCCACCCUCUAUCAUAAGAAAAUGCAUACCUUCCAUUCUUGAGCUCCUUGACCGCUCUCAGGAUUCAGUUUCUUGAUAGCCAUAGCUGUCUUCCUUAUUCCCCUUGGCAUCACCUUUUCCUUAAGCCAACCCUUAUAAACAACACCAAAACCUCCUUUUCCCACCACCAUAUCAGGUCUAAAAUUAUGUGUUGCAGCCUUCAGUUGUGCAUAAGUAAAAGCUCUCAAGUUCGAGUACGCAAUGAUUGGUCCAUUUGUGAAGGCCUCAAUUUGCUCUGUAGCAUUGUUGCCCCAAAUAGUUGUGAAGCUGCCGCUUGAUUGAGAUAUCCAUGUUGUCAGGUUGGUGCUUGUUGCAGAGUAUCCAUUGCUGUCAUAGACAUUUUCAUCUGCAGGAGCUGUAUUACUUGCAGUGACAUGAUGGAUGUUGGUUGGAUGAUCUGGGGUUGGCUUAUGAGCUGGACGGCACCAGCAAUUCCCCAUCAGCUACGAUUAUACACGCUUCCUUAUCGUUGAGGAGCCUCUGCAAAGCCGGCGAUGGCCACAAAAUUCUGUAAUAGAGAGAAAGGAAGUUUUGAUACGCUUCCUUAUCUCAACAGUAAAAUUGUCUUUCACAUUAACGUUUUCCACCCAUAAUGAAAUCCAUGGCUGCAUAUCUAAUUCAAAGUCAAAGACAGCGUGACAGGAAAAGAACAAGAACUAGAGCAGCAAAAAAUUUG
Molecule: unclassified non-coding RNA, 1173 nt
Filed under: Hevea brasiliensis (rubber tree)
Lineage: Eukaryota; Viridiplantae; Streptophyta; Magnoliopsida; Malpighiales; Euphorbiaceae
Source: RNAcentral